GAUCCUGGCUUAGGAUGAACGCUGGCGGCGUGCCUAACACAUGCAAGUCGAACGAAGCAUGGGAACGGAGAUCGUUGAAGGGAACCAUGACUUAGUGGCGGACGGGUGAGUAAUGUAUGAGCAACCUGCCUUUCAGAGGGGGACAACAGUUGGAAACGACUGCUAAUACCGCGUAAUGUAAUGGAGGGGCAUCCCUUUAUUACCAAAGGAGCAAUCCGCUGAAAGAUGGGCUCAUAUCUGAUUAGCUAGUUGGCGGGGUAACGGCCCACCAAGGCGACGAUCAGUAGCCGGACUGAGAGGUUGAACGGCCACAUUGGGACUGAGAUACGGCCCAGACUCCUACGGGAGGCAGCAGUGGGGAAUAUUGGGCAAUGGGCGAAAGCCUGACCCAGCAACGCCGCGUGAAGGAAGAAGGUCUUCGGAUUGUAAACUUCUUUUAUGAGGGACGAAGGAAGUGACGGUACCUCAUGAAUAAGCCACGGCUAACUACGUGCCAGCCGCUGC
Molecule: ribosomal RNA, 504 nt
Filed under: uncultured bacterium
Lineage: Bacteria
Description: bacterial SSU rRNA
Rfam family: Bacterial small subunit ribosomal RNA
Source: RNAcentral